CCUACGGGUGGCAGCAGUGAGGAAUAUUGGUCAAUGGACGCAAGUCUGAACCAGCCAUGCCGCGUGAAGGAAGACUGCUCUAUGAGUUGUAAACUUCUUUUAUACGAGGGUAAACUCAGAUACGCGUAUUUGUCUGAAAGUAUCGUACGAAUAAGGAUCGGCUAACUCCGUGCCAGCAGCCGCGGUAAUACGGAGGAUUCAAGCGUUAUCCGGAUUUAUUGGGUUUAAAGGGUGCGUAGGCGGUCGGUUAAGUCAGUGGUGAAAUCCCGCGGCUCAACUGUGGAAUUGCAUCUGAUACUGGUCGUCUAGAGAGUAGUUGAGGUAAGCGGAAUUUAGGGUGUAGCGGUGAAAUGCUUAGAGAUACGAAAGAACACCGAUGGCGAAGGCAGAUUACUAAGCAAUUUCUGACGUUGAGGCACGAAAGCGUGGGGAGCAAACAGGAUUAGAUACCCUAGUAGUC
Molecule: ribosomal RNA, 460 nt
Filed under: uncultured bacterium
Lineage: Bacteria
Description: partial 16S ribosomal RNA
Rfam family: Bacterial small subunit ribosomal RNA
Source: RNAcentral